This is a long non-coding RNA of Alosa alosa (allis shad), 834 nucleotides long. RefSeq lists it as uncharacterized. Lineage: Eukaryota; Metazoa; Chordata; Actinopteri; Clupeiformes; Clupeidae. The transcript has 6 exons. The record is from RefSeq and is a predicted model, not a curated record.
GUGGCAACACAGAUAUUUUCUCUAAGCGACAUUUCUUGACUUCAGUCUUCUUACUUUAUUAGGACAUUUGUCUGGGAAAAAGAACGGCACACGACAUGCAGGACAGACCGGAGUGUCUGCCCUGCUGUCUGUGCUACAAAAAAAAAGACUGACUUCUGUCUGGACAGGGUGACAUACAACGAAAAAAAGGUACUCCUGAGACUGUUCUUGAAACUGCAGGAGCAGGGCUCAGUUAACUCCUACAUAACAGUGGAGGAUGUCACGGAGUGGUUUUUCCGCCAUGAGAGGAAGAUGUUUAAGGAGUGGUUCCCCCUGAAUUAAAGGAGUCGUGUGAUGACAAAACCUGGCUGACCUGGCAGGUGAAUGCUCAUCUCAGGAUGCAGGACAUUGAACAUGAGGUCAGGAGAGAGCUGUUAGUCAAACAUCUGUCGAGUGUCUCUCGUGAGGGUGAUGAGCUGCAGGACUGUGACCAACGUAUCCCCUCAGCUCCUUCUGAUCUAGAUUCACCUGAGAGUGCAAUUGUUGACAAUCACAAGACCCCAGAUGACCUCAAGAUGCCACUUGUGAAAAGGAUCUUGAGUGACCUUGAACUGGAGCUGGAAUACUACAAGUGCUCCCGUCUGCACACCUGGUUGGAGGUAGUUGCAGACGUUGUCACCCGACUUUUCUUUGUUAUGAAGACAGCCCCCUGUGACACUCCUUACAAUGGGUCCUUCAUGCAACUUACGGAACUGGCUGUGAAUAUUGUCCGUGCAGUGCUCGUGAACCUAUCCUCACUUUUACCAAUCUCAAGCCUACAAGCGCAGUACUCCCGUCCAACUGCUGCUAGGAUGA